CUCCGAAAGCAAAGUAACAGGGGGGAGAGUAAAAAUGGAAAGCUCCUAAAGCUUAGUUCCAUAUAAAUGCACGGAUAAUUUGUUGUUUAGUCGUUAGUGAAAAAAACAUUGACCUUGUAGUUGAAAAAGGAGCCUCAUACAAGAAUGCCAUUUCCUCCUAUGGAGUCCAUUCAUUCGCAUUUGGAGAUCGACUCUUUUUGACUGGCAAGAUAGCAGCGACCGGAAACACCAACUGCUAAAGGCCCUGGGACCCUCUGACUCCAGGUGGACCCCUGUUUCCCUGCAUGCCCCGCGGGCCAGGUGUGCCAGACGGCCCCUCGAUUCCAGGCUGGCCUCGACUUCCCUCGGGACCUCUUUGGCCAGGCUCGCCGGGGUUACCAACCUUAAUAGAAAAUAAGACCAGAGAAAUGUGACGAAACUGCAGCACUGCCUCAAUUGUUUGACACCACGAGAAAAUACUGAGGUACCAGGAUAAAAUAAUCAGCUUGAACUCACCUCUCCUUUAGGUCCUGAUUCUCCUGACUCACCCUAUAGCGCCAUUUUUAAAACACAGAGGACAGAAACAGGGACAAUCGUAUUCUGGUGAGAUUCUCUUCUGAAUAGGAUUGUUGAAUGGUUCAUAAGUUAAAUGAAUAGUGUUGAAUAGUGUUGUUGUAACAACUUACAAUAUCCCCUUUGUCUCCAGCGUCUCCCUCAUCACCUUGUGAUCCCUAUGAAAACACAGUCUGUAAAUGAUUCAUGCAAAGCAACCUAUUUACAUAUUAAAAUGCAGCAUUACUAUUA
Perca flavescens (yellow perch) is the source of this 783-nucleotide long non-coding RNA. RefSeq lists it as uncharacterized. Lineage: Eukaryota; Metazoa; Chordata; Actinopteri; Perciformes; Percidae. The record is from RefSeq and is a predicted model, not a curated record. The transcript has 2 exons.